GGGUUGUGAGGUUAAGCGACUAAGCGUACACGGUGGAUGCCCUGGCAGUCAGAGGCGAUGAAGGACGUGCUAAUCUGCGAUAAGCGUCGGUGAGGUGAUAUGAACCGUUAUAACCGGCGAUUUCCGAAUGGGGAAACCCAGUGUGUUUCGACACACUAUCAUUAACUGAAUC
This 172-nucleotide ribosomal RNA is filed under the name Escherichia coli. RNAcentral describes it as "partial 23S ribosomal RNA". It matches the Rfam family "Bacterial large subunit ribosomal RNA", at positions 1 to 164 of the family's 2925-position model. Lineage: Bacteria; Pseudomonadati; Pseudomonadota; Gammaproteobacteria; Enterobacterales; Enterobacteriaceae. The record is from RNAcentral.